CGUUGCGAGCGUUUCCUAAUUAAUCCUCGCCUCAGCCUCCUCGGGGAAGGCGAUGUGCCGCCGGCCUGACUUCCCAGCCCGCAGCCUUCUGGAGGGCAGCGCCGGAAAAAAAAUCCCCUGCACCCCAUCAGCCCCGGGUUUUCAGCCUUCCCACGGGGACACUUUCUCUGUUGUCACCUCCUGAGGACAUUGCACAUGGGUGCUGAGGAAGACAGAGCCUGGGAAGGGGUUAAAAGACAAAAUUCUGCAGCUGCAACCUGGGAGCAAGAAGCAGAUCAUUUUUACCCAAAGCAAUUUCCCCCCUGGAGCUCAUUUUCCCACCUCCCCGCCGCCGGUAUGGCAGUUCACAGGGAAAGCUCUGCCUUUGUUUUGCUCUGUUUGGGAUCGAGGACUGUUUUGACCAGCUGGACUGUCCCCAGGAGAGAACGCUGUGCUUCCUCCCAGGAAAAAAAGAUUGGCCUGGGGGUGUCCAGCAGGGAGCUGGGCAGAGGAUGGGGUGAAUUCCUGCAGGGAAAGCAGGCAUGGGACCUACCUGCAGCCCAGCAGAGACCUGCCCUGGGAGAAGGGUGAGAGGCUGAAGCAGGCUGGGUAGGUUGAGUGGUUUACAGCCAAAAUGCAUCCUCCUAGGACCUGUAGAUGCUGGAUGAGCUGGUGGCAUCCCAACGAGCAGUGGCUCCCACUGGGAAACGAGUUGGUGGAAAACACGUCUGCAAUUUGGGGUGAGCAACACACGCCAAGGUCUUUUAGCAGGGCAAAACCAUCCCCUUGCCCUCCUCAUUGUUGGCAGCUCCAGCUCAUUGCUGCUUUUCAGGGGCUGCUUGCUGAACGCAGACACAUCCGUGGUGCUGGUGGCACUUCCAAGGGUGGGCAUGAAACCAUGUUCAUCUCCAGCCUCCUUUGAUAUGCGCUGCUUGCAAGUCUGGAGUAAAUCAGAGAUAACGAGUGACUAUCUCUGAGCACAGCCAAGGGAAGAUAGGCUGGCUUUUUAUGAUUAAUUACUCAUUAAUUUGCUUUACAUUAAAAGAAAUGCUGCUUUCUGUUUCCUCAUUGUGAGCUCUCUUCUGUUUGCUGUUUGAGCAUGGCAAUGAAUACGUUUAGGCAAAUGGGCUUUCAAAGUGUCAUUGUGAAAUGGAAACUUGAGCCUUGCAAAUGUGACUUUCAUUUUUUUUUUUUCUUUUAUUGCUUCCCCCACCCUGAUUAAACUAUUUGCCAUCCUUAGCAUGAAUCUAUGAGUAGUUACAGUUGCCUCUUAGCUGUUUUUUUGGGCUGGUAGACCCUCUGUCUGAAAAUC
Molecule: long non-coding RNA, 1291 nt
Filed under: Anas platyrhynchos platyrhynchos (common mallard)
Lineage: Eukaryota; Metazoa; Chordata; Aves; Anseriformes; Anatidae
Description: lncRNA (ENSAPLG00000024470.1)
Source: RNAcentral